AGUGAACGCUGGCGGUAGGCCUAACACAUGCAAGUCGAACGGCAGCACAGUAAGAGCUUGCUCUUACGGGUGGCGAGUGGCGGACGGGUGAGGAAUACAUCGGAAUCUACUUUUUCGUGGGGGAUAACGUAGGGAAACUUACGCUAACACCGCAUACGACCUACGGGUGAAGGCAGGGGAUCUUCGGACCUUGCGCGAUUGAAUGAGCCGAUGUCGGAUUAGCUAGUUGGCGGGGUAAAGGCCCACCAAGGCGACGAUCCGUAGCUGGUCUGAGAGGAUGAUCAGCCACACUGGAACUGAGACACGGUCCAGACUCCUACGGGAGGCAGCAGUGGGGAAUAUUGGACAAUGGGCGCAAGCCUGAUCUAGCCAUACCGCGUGGGUGAAGAAGGCCUUCGGGUUGUAAAGCCCUUUUGUUGGGAAAGAAAAGCAGCAGGUUAAUACCCCGCUGUUCUGACGGUACCCAAAGAAUAAGCACCGGCUAACUUCGU
This 491-nucleotide ribosomal RNA is filed under the name uncultured bacterium. RNAcentral's name for it is "partial 16S ribosomal RNA". It matches the Rfam family "Bacterial small subunit ribosomal RNA", at positions 29 to 506 of the family's 1533-position model. The record is from RNAcentral.